AACAUUGCCCUUCCAUCUCACAGGUUGCGUUUCUCCUGGGUGCUUUCCGUACACGGUCCCUCCUCCCCUCCUACACUUUCCUCCGCACUCACAAGAUAGUCUUCCGCUCCACCCAUCUAUCCCUCUGCCUUUCCUUAUUUCCGCUUGUGUGUGUGUGUGUGUGUGCUUGAUGACGUCAUCCGUAAGCGACUCGCUUAGCGGCGUCCCGAAGCGCUGUUUUGGUUGCCCUGCACACCGGCCGGAGCGAGGCGUUAUCGAGAAGCACGCAGGCACCGGGGUUGCGGCUUCUUUUCUGCCCGAGUGCCAACGUCGGUGUUGUGAGCGAAGCGGAGACGCGAGAAGAUGCACAAGACAAAACGUAAUUGAGGGUGCAGUACGAAGCGCGUCAGCCAGUGACGCCGCGGCAGAUCCCAACUGGGGAUGCGUCGUUGCGGGGAGUCGAGUCGGAUGUGCGCUGUUCGUAAAAGAGGUAGCCCUCGCUUGGGGUGGCCGCAACGCUGCCGGAUUCCCCACCGCCACUCUCGGCCCCCCUCGUGUUCGCCUGCUACGCAGCACACGGGAUGUGGCGCAGAGAUCCCAAAGCAGCCGAGCUCAGUACUUUAUGUACUUUCGGUAUGCUCACCCCCCCCCCUUCCGCCCCCUGCUCUCGCCUUUGUUUCGUACGUUCCCUAUAAACGGCAUGACGCGCUGCGAUGCCCUGCGAGUGCCUUACUCGGAGUCGCCCAAACAACGGAACAACGAAAUGUAAAGGCAGAAGCGUCUCCCUGUUGUUGCGCUUUUCCUUCGUUUUUGCGUCAUUCGUGCUGCUGCUUUCUCCCGCCUCCUCGCUCUCGUUGCGCGCAG
Molecule: unclassified non-coding RNA, 843 nt
Filed under: Leishmania donovani
Lineage: Eukaryota; Euglenozoa; Kinetoplastea; Trypanosomatida; Trypanosomatidae
Description: gene:unknown
Source: RNAcentral